AAAUUUUGAGCCAAAACCUCACAAAAUUGCUAAAGAUAUAGCUCAAGAGACAAACAUUAGUAAAUCGGUUUACUUACUACCCUUAGAUUGCAUGUGCUGACUUCAAAAUCCAAUAACUCCUUCAUCCCAACUUGGAAUCCAGUAAGCAGUAUGUGAAAAGUAUAGCCGCAAAAGUGCUCUCUCCAGUCGCGGUCGCCGAUCCUCAAUUUCCGUCCGUACGCGUGCGUGAUGACCAAAAGAGUGACAGUAGGUUCAAAACUAACACCUUAACUUUGAGCGCCUAUAACUUCUUCAUAAA
Molecule: long non-coding RNA, 298 nt
Filed under: Physcomitrium patens
Lineage: Eukaryota; Viridiplantae; Streptophyta; Bryopsida; Funariales; Funariaceae
Description: long non-coding RNA (PPAT_LNC010042)
Source: RNAcentral